RNAcentral lists this ribosomal RNA (497 nucleotides) under uncultured bacterium. Its description in RNAcentral is "partial 16S ribosomal RNA". It matches the Rfam family "Bacterial small subunit ribosomal RNA", at positions 28 to 507 of the family's 1533-position model. The record is from RNAcentral.
GAUGAACGCUGGCGGCGUGCCUAAUACAUGCAAGUCGAGCGAACAGACGAGGAGCUUGCUCCUCUGACGUUAGCGGCGGACGGGUGAGUAACACGUGGAUAACCUACCUAUAAGACUGGGAUAACUUCGGGAAACCGGAGCUAAUACCGGAUAAUAUAUUGAACCGCAUGGUUCAAUAGUGAAAGACGGUUUUGCUGUCACUUAUAGAUGGAUCCGCGCCGCAUUAGCUAGUUGGUAAGGUAACGGCUUACCAAGGCAACGAUGCGUAGCCGACCUGAGAGGGUGAUCGGCCACACUGGAACUGAGACACGGUUCAGACUCCUACGGGAGGCAGCAGUAGGGAAUCUUCCGCAAUGGGCGAAAGCUUGACGGAGCAACGCCGCGUGAGUGAUGAAGGUCUUCGGAUCGUAAAACUCUGUUAUUAGAGAAGAACAAAUGUGUAAGUAACUAUGCACGUCUUGACGGUACCUAAUCAGAAAGCCACGGCUAACUACGUG